GAUGAACGCUGGCGGCGUGCCUAGUACAUGCAAGUCGAGCGAACAGACGAGGAGCUUGCUCCUCUGACGUUAGCGGUGGACGGGUGAGUAACACGUGGAUAACCUACCUAUAAGACUGGGAUAACUUCGGGAAACCGGAGCUAAUACCGGAUAACAUGUUGAACCGCAUGGUUCAACAGUGAAAGACGGUCUUGCUGUCACUUAUAGAUGGAUCCGCGCCGCAUUAGCUAGUUGGUAAGGUAACGGCUUACCAAGGCAACGAUGCGUAGCCGACCUGAGAGGGUGAUCGGCCACACUGGAACUGAGACACGGUCCAGACUCCUACGGGAGGCAGCAGUAGGGAAUCUUCCGCAAUGGGCGAAAGCCUGACGGAGCAACGCCGCGUGAGUGAAGAAGGUCUUCGGAUCGUAAAACUCUGUUAUUAGGGAAGAACAAAUGUGUAAGUAACUAUGCACGUCUUGACGGUACCUAAUCAGAAAGCCACGGCUAACUACGUG
This 497-nucleotide ribosomal RNA is filed under the name uncultured bacterium. Its description in RNAcentral is "partial 16S ribosomal RNA". It matches the Rfam family "Bacterial small subunit ribosomal RNA", at positions 28 to 507 of the family's 1533-position model. The record is from RNAcentral.